UAUUCAUUUUCUCUACAAAAAUACUGAAAGAAGAAAAAGGAGGGAGAAAAUCUUUAUCAUCUUACCCAAAACUACCACCUCUUUCCUUUCUCUCUAACGUUACUGCACCACAGCUUCGCUGACAACAACAGUCGUCAGCCGGCGAAACCCCCACCGACGUCGCCCCCGUUUUCUGCUCUCCGUCUCUCCCUUGUCCCAAUUACCCCAGCCGUCCUUUCUCCUCUCGUUGUUCUCUUUCCUUUUUUCCAUAGUUGUGAUCGCCGAUGAACCAGCACCGAUGAAAUUAACACUGUCCCAGCCGGUGAACCCCACUAAAAUAGCCCCUAACAAAUUUGGGUUGGAAGGGAAAAAGGUCAAUGGUUUCUCAAUAUUGAUUUUGAAAUAUUAAGACAGAAAAUUGAUUAUCUAUCUGAUUGUGGAAAUCAGUAGUUGGCAAAACAAAGAUUACAUUUUCGAUGGUUGAAUUGUUUAAUACUUGUGGUUCUACCGUUAUCUAGGAAGACAUCAAAGGAUCAGGUCUAUUGAUGAGAAGACUUCUAUACCAGACACUUGUUCGUAUUCAGUAAAGCAAUCGGUGUCUUCUCCGAAGAAUGAGUAAUCUGAAUAUAUGUCACAUCUACAAGGAAUAGAACAGACUAGCGGAUGCUUUAGUAUCUAAUAUUACUGUUGCUGCUUUUACGCAUAACUCCCCGGCUACAGUUAUGCUUUUUUGGAAAUGUCCACCAUCCGUCAUGGAUAUUUUGAGUGCUGACCAACAUGGUGAUUUGACACUUCGCAGUGAAAUACUCACCCCUAGAUCAGGAUGUAUAUAGUACAACUAUUGCUGGUGUUGUACAUAAUCUUACUAGCCUAGUUAGAACUACUUCUGCUAGCUCUUCUGUAGUGGCUAUGCCACAAUUACUUUCCCUGUAGAACUUCUGUUAUAUAAAUAAAAUCUUGUUUGAUCAAAAAAAGAAA
Long non-coding RNA from Capsicum annuum, 957 nucleotides. RefSeq lists it as uncharacterized. The transcript has 3 exons. Lineage: Eukaryota; Viridiplantae; Streptophyta; Magnoliopsida; Solanales; Solanaceae. The record is from RefSeq and is a predicted model, not a curated record.